UACGUAGGGUGCAAGCGUUAUCCGGAAUUAUUGGGCGUAAAGAGCUCGUAGGCGGUUUGUCGCGUCUGCUGUGAAAACUGGGGGCUCAACCCCCAGCCUGCAGUGGGUACGGGCAGACUAGAGUGCGGUAGGGGAGAUUGGAAUUCCUGGUGUAGCGGUGAAAUGCGCAGAUAUCAGGAGGAACACCGGUGGCGAAGGCGGGUCUCUGGGCCAAAACUGACGCUGAGGAGCGAAAGCGUGGGGAGCGAACAGG
RNAcentral lists this ribosomal RNA (253 nucleotides) under uncultured bacterium. RNAcentral's name for it is "partial 16S ribosomal RNA". It matches the Rfam family "Bacterial small subunit ribosomal RNA", at positions 524 to 776 of the family's 1533-position model. The record is from RNAcentral.